This 78-nucleotide transfer RNA is filed under the name Helianthus annuus (common sunflower). RNAcentral's name for it is "tRNA-OTHER". It matches the Rfam family "tRNA". Rfam says of the family: Transfer RNA (tRNA) molecules are approximately 80 nucleotides in length. Their secondary structure includes four short double-helical elements and three loops (D, anti-codon, and T loops). Further hydrogen bonds mediate the characteristic L-shaped molecular structure. tRNAs have two regions of fundamental functional importance: the anti-codon, which is responsible for specific mRNA codon recognition, and the 3' end, to which the tRNAs corresponding amino acid is attached (by aminoacyl-tRNA synthetases). tRNAs cope with the degeneracy of the genetic code in two manners: having more than one tRNA (with a specific anti-codon) for a particular amino acid; and 'wobble' base-pairing, i.e. permitting non-standard base-pairing at the 3rd anti-codon position. Lineage: Eukaryota; Viridiplantae; Streptophyta; Magnoliopsida; Asterales; Asteraceae. The record is from RNAcentral.
GGAGAGAUGGCUGAGUGGUUGAAGCCCGGUCUUGAAACCGGUAGUUUACUAUCGAGGGUUCGAAUCCCUCUCUCCUUU